UAUGUGAUCGUCUCUCGCAUAUCAAUAAGCGGAGGAAAAGAAACUAACAAGGAUUCCCCUAGUAACGGCGAGUGAAGCGGGAAGAGCUCAAAUUUGAAAUCUUAAAGGGUUUCCCUUUACGAAUUGUAGUUUAAAGAAGUGUUUUCUGUUGAGGUUUUGGUAAAAGUUCUUUGGAAUAGGACAUCAUAGAGGGUGAGAAUCCCGUAUUUGACCUUUACUUUCAACUUUGUGAUACACUUUCAAAGAGUCGGAUUGUUUGGGAAUGCAGUCCAAAAUGGGUGGUAAAUUUCAUCUAAAGCUAAAUAUUGGCGAGAGACCGAUAGCGAACAAGUACCGUGAGGGAAAGAUGAAAAGAACUUUGAAAAGAGAGUUAAACAGUACGUGAAAUUGUCAAAAGGGAAGCGUUUGACACCAGUGUUGUUUUUCUGAAAAUCAAUUAAAGAACUGUUUAUGCUAAGUUGUUUAGACUUUAUCAGCUAACUGUUUAGUUUUGAGCUUUUCUUUAAUGCACUUUUCAGUUAACAAGUCAACAUCAAUUUCUUUUGCUGUAAAAAAGCUUGAGGAAGGUGGCUUGAGAUUCGUCUUAAGUGUUUAUAGCCUCUUGCCUAUGCAGUCGGAGAGAUUGAGGUCUGCAGCGUAGAUCCUUCGGGGCUAAAUGCAUUUGUGCUAAGUUAUAGCAUUUUAUAGACAACUUGUUGACUAUGAUUUGUCUUGUAGCUUACUCGCUUAUGUUAUUUUACCUACGCUUAGGAUGUUGACUGAUAUGUAGUCGUA
This 774-nucleotide ribosomal RNA is filed under the name uncultured Neocallimastigales. RNAcentral describes it as "partial large subunit ribosomal RNA". It matches the Rfam family "Eukaryotic large subunit ribosomal RNA", at positions 24 to 644 of the family's 3401-position model. The record is from RNAcentral. Lineage: Eukaryota; Fungi; Neocallimastigomycota; Neocallimastigomycetes; Neocallimastigales.